Molecule: ribosomal RNA, 253 nt
Filed under: uncultured bacterium
Lineage: Bacteria
Description: partial 16S ribosomal RNA
Rfam family: Bacterial small subunit ribosomal RNA
Source: RNAcentral
UACGGAGGGUGCAAGCGUUAUCCGGAUUUAUUGGGUUUAAAGGGUGCGUAGGCGGCCCUGUAAGUCAGUGCUGAAAUAUCCCGGCUUAACCGGGAGGGUGGCAUUGAUACUGCGGGGCUAGAGUACAGAUGAGGUAGGCGGAAUUGACGGUGUAGCGGUGAAAUGCAUAGAUAUUAUCAAGAACACCGAUUGCGAAGGCAGCUUACUAAGGAGUUACUGACACUGAGGCACGAAAGCGUGGGGAUCAAACAGG